CCUACGGGAGGCUGCAGUGAGGAAUAUUGGUCAAUGGACGAGAGUCUGAACCAGCCAAGUAGCGUGAAGGAUGACUGCCCUAUGGGUUGUAAACUUCUUUUAUAUGGGAAUAAAAUGUUCCACGUGUGGGAUUUUGUAUGUACCAUAUGAAUAAGGAUCGGCUAACUCCGUGCCAGCAGCCGCGGUAAUACGGAGGAUCCGAGCGUUAUCCGGAUUUAUUGGGUUUAAAGGGAGCGUAGGUGGAUUGUUAAGUCAGUUGUGAAAGUUUGCGGCUCAACCGUAAAAUUGCAGUUGAAACUGGCAGUCGUGAGUACAGUAGAGGUGGGCGGAAUUCGGGGUGUAGCGGUGAAAUGCUUAGAUAUCACGAAGAACUCCGAUUGCGAAGGCAGCUCACUGGACUGCAACUGACACUGAGGCUCGAAAGUGUGGGUAUCAAACAGGAGUAGAUACCCCAGUAGUC
This 460-nucleotide ribosomal RNA is filed under the name uncultured bacterium. RNAcentral's name for it is "partial 16S ribosomal RNA". It matches the Rfam family "Bacterial small subunit ribosomal RNA", at positions 338 to 795 of the family's 1533-position model. The record is from RNAcentral.